Molecule: long non-coding RNA, 889 nt
Organism: Lycium barbarum (goji berry)
Lineage: Eukaryota; Viridiplantae; Streptophyta; Magnoliopsida; Solanales; Solanaceae
Exons: 3
Source: RefSeq, a predicted model, not a curated record
GGCCCCUACUGAAGGUGUUUUAUAAGGAAUUGUCACUUUAAUCGGGAAAAAGUCUCAUAAAUGAAAUGUAUUGAGCCAACAUCUCUUCAUAUGAAAUGAAGAAAUAUGUAGCAGCAACGUGAAUCUACAUUUUCAAGGGGAGAAAAAGAUGAAGUUUACCAUUGAAGCAAAACUCAAAGAAACGUGAUUAGUUUUGUAAUCAGCAACUUGGAAAAUUCUAAAGUUAAGUGACAACGUGAUUCAUUUCAUAAGAGCAACGUGAGUAUUUUUGUAAAAUCAGCAAGGUUUUAUUUUUGGUAACAGCGGCAACGUUUUUCCUUAUUCCAAAUGGGAAACUUAUGAUCCCUUUUACGAAGAAAUAUAGUGGGUUUUGCUCUCUACUUCGAUUUUGUUGUUCUCAUUUGCCGUGUUGUUGAAUUCAGACUUUCUUCGCAGUGAAGUAAGGUGAAAAAAGAGUAAUUCUUGGCAUAUAAGACUUGCGAGCUCGGGAAGUAAACGUUGGACAUUUAGAUAGACUUCGAGCAUGGGGAGGCUGCGUUCAUGCCCGCAGGUUCAGGUAGACAGUCAGGCGGUCCAACUCAGUAGGACUUCUAUCCAGCAGUAGUCGGGGCGCUCCACUCGGUUCGGAGCUGCUGUCCAUUUUGGUAUGCUAUUUUGAUGUAUAUAUGGGUAUGACGGGGCCCUGUCCUGUCCUUUCUACAGUUUUGUACUCCUUUAGAGGUCUAUAGAUGGUUGUACGUAGUAUGGAAGUCAUAUAGCCUUGUCGGCUUCUAUUUUGCUUUACAGUAUCUACAGUGGCCUAGUCGGCUUGCACUGUUGUCUCUAGUAUGUAUAUAUAUGUAUGCCUAUGAGCCCUUGAUGCAUAAUUCGUUGUGUUUUUCAUACAGAA